Long non-coding RNA from Choloepus didactylus (southern two-toed sloth), 268 nucleotides. RefSeq lists it as uncharacterized. Lineage: Eukaryota; Metazoa; Chordata; Mammalia; Pilosa; Megalonychidae. The transcript has 3 exons. The record is from RefSeq and is a predicted model, not a curated record.
AGGAUGCUGGGUGGGGCUAUGAGGCUUUGGUGCCCCUGAGGUUACGAACUUGUAGAGGAUUUUGCAGCGUUUCCUUUACCAGAUUGGUGUCUCCAUGGCUGAGUUAGGCAAUGAAAUGUGGGUGGAAAUAAAGUACACUACUUCCCGGCUUGGUCCCUAAAAAUCUCCCAUGGGUUCUCCUCUUUCAUUUUCUUCAUCUACUGGCUGACUGGAGAGGACACCAGAAACCUAUGAGAGCUUAUGGUCCCUUCUGGAGAAAGAUCCGUGA